Molecule: ribosomal RNA, 271 nt
Filed under: uncultured bacterium
Lineage: Bacteria
Description: partial 16S ribosomal RNA
Rfam family: Bacterial small subunit ribosomal RNA
Source: RNAcentral
UACGUAGGGUGCAAGCGUUAAUCGGAAUUACUGGGCGUAAAGCGUGCGCAGGCGGUUAUAUAAGUCAGAUGUGAAAUCCCCGGGCUUAACCUGGGAACUGCAUUUGAAACUGGCAGGCUUGAGUCUUGUAGAGGGGGGUAGAAUUCCAGGUGUAGCGGUGAAAUGCGUAGAGAUCUGGAGGAACACCAGUGGCGAAGGCGGCUUCUUGGUCUGUAACUGACGCUGAGGCGCGAAAGCGUGGGGAGCAAACAGGAUUAGAUACCCUAGUAGU